Molecule: long non-coding RNA, 769 nt
Organism: Tribolium castaneum (red flour beetle)
Lineage: Eukaryota; Metazoa; Arthropoda; Insecta; Coleoptera; Tenebrionidae
Exons: 4
Source: RefSeq, a predicted model, not a curated record
CCUGAAACACUAAUAGACUACAUUAUCUAAUUACAUCAGGAAAAGUAUUUGUAAUGGAUACAUUUCGGGCUUGGGCUGUAAUUUAAGACUGAAUGAUGAAUUCAUUAUUUAAUUAGCUGAUUUCGAUUUGAAUAUCUCACUAGCAGAUUCGAAAUAAUUCGCAAUGACAAAACGCCAAGGCCUUGUUGUUCUCACUAUUACAUUCUCAUCAAUCAAUGCAUUUUUAUCUUCAAGACAGCACAGAUUAACUUUGAAAGUCCCUUUCUUCUUUUGAAAUAAUUGCGUAUUUAUAGUUUUUUCGAGCAUUUAUUUAUUUUAUUCGUUCUAAUAAAAGCUCCGAGAUCUUAUCAAGCGCAGUCCCCUGCUGUUUUAUGAAUUUUCAGCUUGCUUUGAAGCAUUUCCCAAGGACAUAAAAUAUUAUAGCUUUAAAAACCAGAAGUCCAAAGCUGCAGCCGCUCCAAAUGGAAUACACGUGUUUCAGCAAGUUUGUAAUAAACCAGGAUUGGAAUCGUACGGUUACUUAUUCAAGCAACAAAUGCGUUCUGACCGAAAUACGUCGAUUUGAGCAAUUUUAAUUGGAUGCGAGUAGUUUUCAGCUCGCAACUCUUGAAUAACAGGAUAGUCGUUUUUUGGCAAUUACAGAACGUGUUGUUCAGUAAGUUAUUAAAAGCAGGUUCCAGUCGAAAGUCUUUCAACAACAAUUAAGUUCGUCCUGAAACUGUCGCACGCAUAAAUUUCGAGGAGACUUCAACGACAGGCGAGACGAGAA